This 208-nucleotide unclassified non-coding RNA is filed under the name soil metagenome. RNAcentral describes it as "partial internal transcribed spacer 1". The record is from RNAcentral.
AUGAAUUUUGGAGUUCUACUGUGCCUGCCGUUCAUUCGGAUGUGUGCACGUAGUCUCUAUAAAUCCUUAUCAACACCUGCGCACCUUUAAAAAGGGGGGAGUCCGAUUAAGCAUUUUAUGAUGCUUAUGACGAAUAACCUCUUUUCUUAUACAAACUCUUUUAAUGUCUAUUAGAAUGUUCUCUGGCCGCAAGGCUAUAAAAUAUAAA